RNAcentral lists this ribosomal RNA (253 nucleotides) under uncultured bacterium. RNAcentral describes it as "partial 16S ribosomal RNA". It matches the Rfam family "Bacterial small subunit ribosomal RNA", at positions 524 to 776 of the family's 1533-position model. The record is from RNAcentral.
UACGAAGGGGGCGAGCGUUGUUCGGAAUUACUGGGCGUAAAGGGCGCGUAGGCGGUGUGUCAAGUCAGGCGUGAAAGCCCCGGGCUCAACCUGGGAACGGCGCUUGAGACUGGCACGCUCGAGUUCGGGAGAGGAUGGUGGAAUUCCCGGUGUAGCGGUGGAAUGCGUAGAGAUCGGGAAGAACACCCGUGGCGAAGGCGGCCAGCUGGGCCGGUUCUGACGCUGAGGCGCGAAAGCGUGGGGAGCAAACAGG